RNAcentral lists this ribosomal RNA (100 nucleotides) under uncultured bacterium. RNAcentral's name for it is "partial 16S ribosomal RNA". It matches the Rfam family "Bacterial small subunit ribosomal RNA", at positions 1365 to 1482 of the family's 1533-position model. The record is from RNAcentral.
AAUACGUUCCCGGGCCUUGUACACACCGCCCGUCACACCAUGGGAGUUGGUUCUACCCGAAGGCGCUGCGCCGACCACGGUGAGAUUCAUGACUGGGGUG